UUAUUCUCCUUCACUCAGGCAUAAGAGUGAAAUUUCAUUAAGUAAUUUUCAACCUCCUUAAGAUAACAAUGCUUGUCCUUGAGAGAAAGUUGCUCUUCAUUCCUCUUGAACAAGUUUUGGGUGAAAUUUUCUCUCUGCAAGGAACGAUUGUAAAUCUGGAUGAGGUUUCAUUUAACCUUGGGAUGAAGAGUUACUGAUGAAGAUUAUGUUGUUUCAUAGGACAUCCCAACUCACUCUUCCUCAACUCAAGCUUUGGUAUUCUUCAUAAUCUUCCUUAGUUUUUCUUUUUUCUUUCUUAUCCUCGUGUCUUUGUUUUUUC
RNAcentral lists this long non-coding RNA (319 nucleotides) under Lathyrus oleraceus (garden pea). RNAcentral's name for it is "Pisum sativum (pea) long non-coding RNA (PSAT_LNC014081)". The record is from RNAcentral. Lineage: Eukaryota; Viridiplantae; Streptophyta; Magnoliopsida; Fabales; Fabaceae.